This 500-nucleotide ribosomal RNA is filed under the name uncultured bacterium. Its description in RNAcentral is "partial 16S ribosomal RNA". It matches the Rfam family "Bacterial small subunit ribosomal RNA", at positions 28 to 507 of the family's 1533-position model. The record is from RNAcentral.
GACGAACGCUGGCGGCGUGCUUAACACAUGCAAGUCGAACGGGUCUGCCCUGUUUUUUGCGGGGUGGGUCAGUGGCGAACGGGUGAGUAACACGUGAGUAACCUGCCCCUCACUUCUGGAUAACCGCUUGAAAGGGUGGCUAAUACGGGGUGUUCUGGCUGUGCCGCAUGGUGUGGCUGGGAAAGAUUCACUUUUGUGGUGUUUUGGUGGGGGAUGGGCUCGCGGCCUAUCAGCUUGUUGGUGGGGUGAUGGCCUGCCAAGGCUUUGACGGGUAGCCGGCCUGGGAGGGUGGGCGGUCACACUGGGAGUGAGGUACGGCCCGGACUCCUGCAGGGGGCAGCAGUGGGGGGUAUUGCACAGUGGGCGGAAGCCUGAUGCGGCGGCGUCGCGUGAGGGGUGGAGGCCUUCGGGGUGUGAACCUCUUUCGCCGGUGAAGAAGGUCCUGCUCUUUGUGGUGGGGUUGACGGUAGCCGGGUUAUGAAGCGCCGGCUAACUACGUG